GGGGCCGUGGCGCAGCUGGGAGCGCGCCUCGAUGGCAUCGAGGAGGUCGUGGGUUCGAACCCCAUCGGCUCCACCA
This 76-nucleotide transfer RNA is filed under the name Acidobacteriota bacterium. RNAcentral describes it as "Acidobacteria bacterium tRNA-Ala". It matches the Rfam family "tRNA". Rfam says of the family: Transfer RNA (tRNA) molecules are approximately 80 nucleotides in length. Their secondary structure includes four short double-helical elements and three loops (D, anti-codon, and T loops). The record is from RNAcentral. Lineage: Bacteria; Pseudomonadati; Acidobacteriota. RNAcentral also lists the same sequence under 9 other names.